Long non-coding RNA from Columba livia (rock pigeon), 2344 nucleotides. RefSeq lists it as uncharacterized. NCBI's taxonomy places the organism in Eukaryota, Metazoa, Chordata, Aves, Columbiformes, Columbidae. The record is from RefSeq and is a predicted model, not a curated record. The transcript has 4 exons.
GAGAGCCUCCAUGCUGCCGCUGCCCAGCGUCUUCUCCCUCCAGAGCCGACUGCCAGCAGCUGCUCCCAGGACCAGCCGGGGGUUUAUCUUUCUACCCUGGAGAUGGACAGACAAUCCAGGUCCCCAUGGGUGUUCUUCUCUGAUGACUGCAGAGCUGAAAUAUAAGCAGCACUUCCAGAAACAGUGAAACCUCCGUGGUGCUGUUGGACGGCAGCGAGUCAGGAGCAGGGGGAUGAAUGUCUGCAGCUGUGACCCGGCUCGGACUCACGUGUGACAUCCCACAGCAAAGGUACAAAGGUUUUGUGUUGAACUGUGGGCUGCAGGCCAGACCCAGCACAGGACUGCAAGCUCCUCAGCAUCCCCAAAGCCUCCUGGUUUUAACAGCAGCUGGAGGGGCGAGCACAUGGCAGAACUGUUUCGGAUCAACAGGAUGGAGCUGUGGAAAGACAGGGAGGGUCAGACAUCGCUGCAUCACAUCUGUGCCAUCCAAAGGAAAAGAUGGUUUGGGCAAAGAUGGGCACUAUGCAGUUGACUUGAGUUCUGUAUCCUGCUUCGAGGAGUUCACUAAACUUCCCUCACAGAGAAAGAAUUAAAAGGAGAAAGAAAAAAUAUUAAAUUCCAUUGAAAUAUUCACAGGGAUGCCAAGAGCUUACAUAGGCUUCUCUGUAGAAUGACAGGAAAAAUUCUGAGGUUUGUUCCCUACUUCUAGGGUUCCUUUACCUCACUUGGCUGCUAAUUUGUUCUCUGCCUUCAUUUUGAAGAAGGAUUGAGCUCUACAACUGGAAGAAAUGUUUUCUCACCCAUUAGCCAUUUGAGACAGAGACAGAUUCUCACAGAAAUCAAACACAGCCUCCUCUUAUCUGCCCCACCAGCAUAGACUGGUCCAACAGAGCUUUGUACAUCUUUGAAGUUAGCAGCGUAAGUGAGCCAGGUCUUUUUAUAAGGUUGCAUGUGAAAUUGUCAGAAGAAUGAAACCAUUUGCAGAUGGUGGAGUGAUAAAGAUGGUACAGUAUCUCACUUGUAUUUGCCCCUGAUUUCCUUGGGAAGAGAAGAAAAAGAAAAGGGGAGGAAAAAAAAAAGGCAGCGGGAGGAAAGAGAAACUCCAACAAAUGAAAUUCUUUUGACAACACAGUGUUGAAGGACUAAGUGAGAUUUCUGGCAAAAGCACUAGGACUCUGAAGACAAGCUGACUUCUGCAAUAUUUAUUACUUUGCUUUGAUGAAACCUCUGACAUCAAGGACUUUCUUAGUGACUGACUAUUGUCAGAAUAAUGUUGCAGGAACUGGAAGUGACAGAUGAUUUUUUUGUACAUGAAGCUUGUGCAUAAUGGCAUGAGAAAGAGGACAUAAAAAAGUCUGCCCUGAAGCAGCUUAAUGUGGCCCUGGAGAAAAGAGCUGUUAUCACCGCUUACUGAUGUAGUCACAGCAGUAUGUGUUACCAAAAAUUGGAUCCCGAAGUCAGACAGUUCAGCAUGGGGCAGAUAUUCUAAGAGUUGUGUUCCCUUAUCACAGCCUUGUAGAGGCUGGGACUGCAGGAGGAAAUCUGGCAGAGGAGUGAAUGUACCUCCAGAAACAAAAUAAAAAUUUCCUUUACUGUGUCAGGUCUAUCCCCUGUAUUGCAAUACCGCAAGACCAUACGUGGCAAAAAUAAAUGUGUUGACGUUGAUGUGUGUUGGUGGACUUGUGACAACUGCUGAUGCAGAAUGCAAUAUCCCCCUGCUUACUCUUCUGUAUUUUCUGAACACAGGGCACAGAAGCACUGUGAUGUACCUAUGGUGCAGUGACUGUAGCUCUUCACAGAAACACAAAACUUGUAGAAAAAAUGUUUCCAAACUAGCUGUAGCAUCAUAUAUACUUGUGUGCAGCCAGCUUUUCAAAUAGUACUUAGUACCAAAUUAAUCAAGAGAACCUAUGGGGAUGUAGAAAAGUUGGGGAAUAAUUUAAGGUAUAAUCUAGAGUCAUUUCAAAGUAAUUAAUUAACUAAAAUAUUAACCACCCUUUCCUCAAGUCCAUAGGUCUUUGAGAUGUUAUUCUUCCCAUCAAGAGGUUCCAACUGGAAAUCAGAGUUACAGUGCUCUGCAGCAAAACUGCUAUUUUCAAACCCAGAGGCCAGGGUUGCAGCAGGAUACCAUAAUCUUCUCUGGGUAUCUCAAUAACCUUUCUCUGUGCUCUACAGACACACUUUGUUUUGAUUGCGCCUCAUGCAGUGGAAUCAUACUUGUUUUCAGUGGGAAUAUUGUGAGGUGCACAGUUGGCAUUUGUAUAUUUUGGAGGAAAAAAAGCAAAAUCUUUUCAAACCCCAAACUGUGUAUUUAUUAAAAUCAGGUUUUGUUUUGACUUGCCUA